GUCCACGCUGUAAACGAUGGUUACUAGCUGUUUGGACUUCGGUCUGAGUGGCUAAGCGAAAGUGAUAAGUAACCCACCUGGGGAGUACGAUCGCAAGAUUGAAACUCAAAGGAAUUGACGGGGGCCCGCACAAGCGGUGGAGCAUGUGGUUUAAUUCGAUGAUACGCGAGGAACCUUACCAGGGCUUAAAUGUGGAUUGACAGGGGCAGAGACGCCUUUUUCUUCGGACAAUUCACAAGGUGCUGCAUGGUU
RNAcentral lists this ribosomal RNA (252 nucleotides) under uncultured bacterium. RNAcentral describes it as "partial 16S ribosomal RNA". It matches the Rfam family "Bacterial small subunit ribosomal RNA", at positions 793 to 1050 of the family's 1533-position model. The record is from RNAcentral.